CGAGGGCGAGAUAGUCGGAAGGGGAGGACUGGGUCACGUCGUAGGAGAUGGUGAGGUCCCCUUCUCGCCUGGGGAGGAACUCCGUGUCCAGCGGCGACGACGAGUCGUUGGACCUGAAGUUGGGGUCGCGCACGCAGCAGGUGAGGGAGGUAUCGGUGCCGGGGGGGCGAGUCGCCGCCGGGCAGAUGUAGUCCUUCCUGCUCCCCAGGGAGAGGCUUCCCGGCAUGAACUCGGCGCCGAACUGCGUGCCAACGAUGUUGAUGCUGACCUGCAUCUGGGUCAGGUCGCCGGCGGUCUCGAUGGCGGUCUUGAGAUCGGUGACGGGGUUGCCGGAGAAGGAGGCGCCGUCGGGGCCGACGACGGCGGGGAGGGAGGAGCCGUCGGUGAGGACAGCGCUGGACACGGAGACAAGGAUGGUGCCGUUGGGGAGGCCGACAUGGAAGGCCCAGGACUUGAGCGGCACGGAGUCGAAGUUGCUGAUGGUAGCCGUGGCCCUGAAGGCGUAGGGCUGGGGGGUGAG
RNAcentral lists this long non-coding RNA (520 nucleotides) under Spirodela polyrhiza (greater duckweed). Its description in RNAcentral is "long non-coding RNA (SPOL_LNC001811)". The record is from RNAcentral. Lineage: Eukaryota; Viridiplantae; Streptophyta; Magnoliopsida; Alismatales; Araceae.